RNAcentral lists this unclassified non-coding RNA (396 nucleotides) under Hevea brasiliensis (rubber tree). The record is from RNAcentral. Lineage: Eukaryota; Viridiplantae; Streptophyta; Magnoliopsida; Malpighiales; Euphorbiaceae.
AGUAUUAUAGCUAGAGGUGUCCUCGCGGAGCCAUAAAUGUAGUUAACUUACUCAGGGUACAAAAAGGGUUUGAUUCACGACAGAGAUUUCUGAUAUUGUCGUACCCAGUUGUCAUAAUCCUGAAGGAGUUGUUGCAAUAGCAACGGUACUAGCCUGUCAACUAAAGCUUGCAUCAUUAAGUUACCGGGAGUCUCAACAGCAGAAGUAGGCAGCAUGGUGAAUGGCAUCGUAUAUAUCUCGAGAGAUAUAUUCAAUUUCACAUCAACAUCAAGGAAAGGCUGAGAUCCAACUGUUUCCCACGUUAUACGGUUUACCAUUGAUGCUGAAAAGUGGUCAUUCUGCUGCUCAACCAAAUCAGAACCCUCAAACUUGCAAGACAACAUCUCCACAGUGCAG